UGAUUUAUCGCAUUCUGUUAUGACAGAUAGUCUGUAAUUAUUUUGAAAUAUGUAAUACUGAAACUAACUGAUGUGUAGGGCUGGAUGCGUACUUGAUACCUUAUACGGUGGGUUGGGAUUGCCGAAGAUGAUGUGUAGCGGAUGGGGGUAGGAAAUUACAUCAAAUUCUAUUUUGCAUCUAUGUCUUAUCUAUUUUUUAUUUU
This 203-nucleotide long non-coding RNA is filed under the name Gossypium raimondii (Peruvian cotton). RNAcentral's name for it is "long non-coding RNA (GRAI_LNC008210)". The record is from RNAcentral. Lineage: Eukaryota; Viridiplantae; Streptophyta; Magnoliopsida; Malvales; Malvaceae.